UCGAGUCUAGGUUCUCUUCCAUGAGGCCUGACUUCCUAACCCAGUGUUAAAACUACACCUUUGAUGUUGCUUCGGCGGGACGGUCUUGUACCGCCGGAGGACUGGCUUCUGGCUGGUCUUCUGGAACGUUGCCCGCCGAUGGCCUUCUACAAAUACUUAUACUAAACCAUGAUGCCUAAAGUCUUAUCCAUGAAUAAUGGUAAAAACA
This 208-nucleotide unclassified non-coding RNA is filed under the name uncultured fungus. Its description in RNAcentral is "sequence contains ITS1, 5.8S rRNA gene". Lineage: Eukaryota; Fungi. The record is from RNAcentral.